RNAcentral lists this ribosomal RNA (253 nucleotides) under uncultured bacterium. RNAcentral's name for it is "partial 16S ribosomal RNA". It matches the Rfam family "Bacterial small subunit ribosomal RNA", at positions 524 to 776 of the family's 1533-position model. The record is from RNAcentral.
UACGAAGGGGGCUAGCGUUGCUCGGAAUCACUGGGCGUAAAGGGUGCGUAGGCGGUUCUUUAAGUCAGAGGUGAAAUCCUGGAGCUCAACUCCAGAACUGCCUUUGAUACUGGGAGCCUUGAGUUCGGGAGAGGUGAGUGGAACUGCGAGUGUAGAGGUGAAAUUCGUAGAUAUUCGCAAGAACACCAGUGGCGAAGGCGGCUCACUGGCCCGAUACUGACGCUGAGGUGCGAAAGCGUGGGGAGCAAACAGG